AGAGUUUGAUCUCUGGCUCAGGAUGAACGCCGGCGGUGUGCCUAAUACAUGCAAGUCGUACGCACUGGCCCAACUGAUUGAUGGUGCUUGCACCUGAUUGACGAUGGAUCACCAGUGAGUGGCGGACGGGUGAGUAACACGUAGGUAACCUGCCUCGGAGCGGGGGAUAACAUUUGGAAACAGAUGCUAAUACCGCAUAACAACAAAAGCCACAUGGCUUUUGUUUGAAAGAUGGCUUUGGCUAUCACUCUGGGAUGGACCUGCGGUGCAUUAGCUAGUUGGUAAGGUAACGGCUUACCAAGGCAAUGAUGCAUAGCCGAGUUGAGAGACUGAUCGGCCACAAUGGAACUGAGACACGGUCCAUACUCCUACGGGAGGCAGCAGUAGGGAAUCUUCCACAAUGGGCGCAAGCCUGAUGGAGCAACACCGCGUGAGUGAAGAAGGGUUUCGGCUCGUAAAGCUCUGUUGUUGGAGAAGAACGUGCGUGAGAGUAACUGUUCACGCAGUGACGGUAUCCAACCAGAAAGUCACGGCUAACUACGUGCCAGCAGCCGCGGUAAUACGUAGGUGGCAAGCGUUAUCCGGAUUUAUUGGGCGUAAAGCGAGCGCAGGCGGUUGCUUAGGUCUGAUGUGAAAGCCUUCGGCUUAACCGAAGAAGUGCAUCGGAAACCGGGCGACUUGAGUGCAGAAGAGGACAGUGGAACUCCAUGUGUAGCGGUGGAAUGCGUAGAUAUAUGGAAGAACACCAGUGGCGAAGGCGGCUGUCUGGUCUGCAACUGACGCUGAGGCUCGAAAGCAUGGGUAGCGAACAGGAUUAGAUACCCUGGUAGUCCAUGCCGUAAACGAUGAGUGCUAGGUGUUGGAGGGUUUCCGCCCUUCAGUGCCGGAGCUAACGCAUUAAGCACUCCGCCUGGGGAGUACGACCGCAAGGUUGAAACUCAAAGGAAUUGACGGGGGCCCGCACAAGCGGUGGAGCAUGUGGUUUAAUUCGAAGCUACGCGAAGAACCUUACCAGGUCUUGACAUCUUGCGCUAACCUUAGAGAUAAGGCGUUCCCUUCGGGGACGCAAUGACAGGUGGUGCAUGGUCGUCGUCAGCUCGUGUCGUGAGAUGUUGGGUUAAGUCCCGCAACGAGCGCAACCCUUGUUACUAGUUGCCAGCAUUAAGUUGGGCACUCUAGUGAGACUGCCGGUGACAAACCGGAGGAAGGUGGGGACGACGUCAGAUCAUCAUGCCCCUUAUGACCUGGGCUACACACGUGCUACAAUGGACGGUACAACGAGUCGCAAGCUCGCGAGAGUAAGCUAAUCUCUUAAAGCCGUUCUCAGUUCGGACUGUAGGCUGCAACUCGCCUACACGAAGUCGGAAUCGCUAGUAAUCGCGGAUCAGCAUGCCGCGGUGAAUACGUUCCCGGGCCUUGCACUCACCGCCCGUCA
Molecule: ribosomal RNA, 1435 nt
Filed under: uncultured bacterium
Lineage: Bacteria
Description: bacterial SSU rRNA
Rfam family: Bacterial small subunit ribosomal RNA
Source: RNAcentral